UCCACGUGGUACGCGUGGCAUUCAUGUCGCUGCCCAGCUCCAUCACAUUGCUCUCAUCUAUCCAUUGAUGAUAAAGAUGAUAAAAGUUCUUUCCUCCACAACCUUAGGCUUUCCAUCCUCUCUUAGUACUGCUUCAAUAAUUUCAGGCUAGAAGGAUAAGUUCAUAUGUUUUGAUUGUUUGUGAGCACCAGAAGCAACUAUGUUAUUGUCUGGUUUUGGAACUGUGGGUAAACGUUUGGGCAUAUCACAGUGCACGACAGAUGGUUUACAUGAAUCCUCACGCAGUUGAGCAGCGAAAAGGAUAUGUAGGCAACGUACAUACUUCAACGUGACAUUGUUGAAGAGUAUGGAUGAAGACUUGACAGAAGUUGCUAAUGACAAUUACCAUCCAUGUGAAACAUGGUUGUGGCCAUUAACGGGAGAGAUAUAUUGACAAGGGAUAUAUGAAAAGGGAGAGAGAAGAGAGAUACAUGCAAAAAAUGAUCAAGAAGAGAAAGACGAGAGAAACUACAUGAUAAAAUUAAAAAAGAAUAUAAACCCAAAACCAAACUCGAAGAGAACAUGUCAUGUAUAUAAUGACUUGCUCUUUCUGACUUUGCUAGGAAUUUUAAGACAUUUUAUACACCUUCAUAUCCUUUUUACCACUAUAUUCAUGCCUUGAUAUAGUAGCUAUGUACCCCUUUGACUCACCAGCUAUGUUUUCCCCUGCAGACUUUCCAUAA
Long non-coding RNA from Solanum pennellii, 722 nucleotides. RefSeq lists it as uncharacterized. The transcript has 2 exons. NCBI's taxonomy places the organism in Eukaryota, Viridiplantae, Streptophyta, Magnoliopsida, Solanales, Solanaceae. The record is from RefSeq and is a predicted model, not a curated record.